This 395-nucleotide unclassified non-coding RNA is filed under the name soil metagenome. RNAcentral's name for it is "partial contains 5.8S ribosomal RNA, internal transcribed spacer 2, and large subunit ribosomal RNA". The stretch from base 1 to 122 matches the Rfam family "5.8S ribosomal RNA", at positions 35 to 154 of the family's 154-position model. The record is from RNAcentral.
GAUGAAGAACGCAGCGAAAUGCGAUACUUGGUGUGAAUUGCAGAAUCCCGUGAACCAUCGAGUCUUUGAACGCAAGUUGCGCCCGAAGCCAUCAGGUUGAGGGCACGUCUGCCUGAGCGUCACAUAUCGUUGCCCAAUGCCUAUUGCAGUGCAAUAGGAAUUUCUAGGGCGAAUGAUGGCUUCCCGUGAGCGUUGUUGCCUCGCGGUUGGUUGAAAAUCGAGUCCUUGGUAGGGUGUGCCAUGGUAGAUGGUGGUCGAGUUAGAACGAUACCGAUCAUGUGCAUGCUCCCCAAAAUAUGGCCUCUAUGACCCACACGCGUCUUUUGACGCUCAUGACGAGACCUCAGGUCAGGCGGGGCUACCCGCUGAAUUUAAGCAUAUCAAUAAGCGGAGGA